This 468-nucleotide ribosomal RNA is filed under the name uncultured bacterium. RNAcentral describes it as "partial 16S ribosomal RNA". It matches the Rfam family "Bacterial small subunit ribosomal RNA", at positions 28 to 507 of the family's 1533-position model. The record is from RNAcentral.
GACGAACGCUGGCGGCGUGCUUAACACAUGCAAGUCGAACGGAAAGGCCCUGCUUUUGUGGGGUGCUCGAGUGGCGAACGGGUGAGUAAUACGUGAGUAACCUGCCCUUGACUUUGGGAUAACUUCAGGAAACUGGGGCUAAUACCGGAUAGGAGCUCCUGCUGCAUGGUGGGGGUUGGAAAGUUUCGGCGGUUGGGGAUGGACUCGCGGCUUAUCAGCUUGUUGGUGGGGUAGUGGCUUACCAAGGCUUUGACGGGUAGCCGGCCUGAGAGGGUGACCGGCCACAUUGGGACUGAGAUACAGCCCAGACUCCUACGGGAGGCAGCAGUGGGGAAUAUUGCACAAUGGGCGGAAGCCUGAUGCAGCAACGCCGCGUGCGGGAUGACGGCCUUCGGGUUGUAAACCGCUUUCGCCUGUGACGAAGCGUGAGUGACGGUAAUGGGUAAAGAAGCACCGGCUAACUACGUG